RNAcentral lists this small nucleolar RNA (94 nucleotides) under Myotis brandtii (Brandt's bat). Its description in RNAcentral is "Small nucleolar RNA U83B". It matches the Rfam family "Small nucleolar RNA U83B". From Rfam's summary of the family: U83B belongs to the C/D family of snoRNAs. U83B like U83A has no documented RNA target and they share the same host gene with the C/D box snoRNA U43 (RPL3). Lineage: Eukaryota; Metazoa; Chordata; Mammalia; Chiroptera; Vespertilionidae. The record is from Rfam by way of RNAcentral.
GCUGUUGGGUGAUGAGGCUCUGGAAUGAGCCCUGGGCACAGUGCCCGAGUUGGGCUGCAGAAACAUCCCGUGCUGCCUUCCUUCUGAAAGCAUC